Molecule: transfer RNA, 60 nt
Filed under: Streptococcus agalactiae
Lineage: Bacteria; Bacillati; Bacillota; Bacilli; Lactobacillales; Streptococcaceae
Also listed under: 1 other name
Description: tRNA-Phe
Rfam family: tRNA
About the family: Transfer RNA (tRNA) molecules are approximately 80 nucleotides in length. Their secondary structure includes four short double-helical elements and three loops (D, anti-codon, and T loops).
Source: RNAcentral
GUAGCUCAGUUGGUAGAGCAAUGGAUUGAAGCUCCAUGUGUCGGCGGUUCGAUUCCGUCU